AUGGCCAACAAAAAGCCCAAGGAAGAAGUCAAAACUGAGAACAACGAUCAUAUUAACUUGAAGGUGGCAGGGCAGAAUGGUUCUGUGGUGCAGUUUAAGAUUAAGAGGCAUACACCACUUGGUAAACUAAUGAAAGACUAUUGUGAAUGACAGGGAUUGUCAAUGAGGCAGAUGAGAUUCCAAUUUGAUGGGCAAUCAAUCACUGAAACAGACAUACCUGCACAUUUGGAAAUGGAGGCUGAAGAUACAAUGGAUGUGUUCCAGUAGCAGACG
This 273-nucleotide long non-coding RNA is filed under the name Homo sapiens (human). Its description in RNAcentral is "non-protein coding lnc-KATNAL2-6:1". The record is from RNAcentral. Lineage: Eukaryota; Metazoa; Chordata; Mammalia; Primates; Hominidae.